UCCCUCCACCUAGUUUCCAGUCUCCUCAAACAGCGCCACCUGCUGGACAAGCCUGCAAACCACAUGUCUCCCAGAGUAUUUAUUGAACAGGUGGACAAGCGUCGUUGUUAGUGAUGCCUUUGCUCCCUCACUGCCAGAGCUGGACAUUCUGCCAGCAUCUCUUACAAUGAAAGUUGCCCCUCUUCAAGGUGAAACAGCAAUAGUGUUCAACAAAUAUUUCUGAAUACCUAUAAAUGUUCAAGACGUGA
RNAcentral lists this long non-coding RNA (248 nucleotides) under Rattus norvegicus (Norway rat). RNAcentral describes it as "long non-coding RNA NONRATT028255". The record is from RNAcentral. Lineage: Eukaryota; Metazoa; Chordata; Mammalia; Rodentia; Muridae.